GAUGAACGCUGGCGGCGUGCCUAAUACAUGCAAGUCGAACGCUGGAGAUCUAGCUUGCUAGAUCGAAGGAGUGGCGAACGGGUGAGUAAUACAUAAGCAACCUACCCACGAAGACUGGGAUAAUCUCUGGAAACGGGGACUAAUACCGGAUAGGUAAUCGGAAGGCAUCUUCUGGUUAUUAAAGGUUAAAAACACUGGUGGAUGGGCUUAUGGCGCAUUAGUUAGUUGGUGAGGUAACGGCCCACCAAGACGAUGAUGCGUAGCCGGCCUGAGAGGGUGAACGGCCACAUUGGGACUGAGACACGGCCCAGACUCCUACGGGAGGCAGCAGUAGGGAAUUUUCGGCAAUGGGGGCAACCCUGACCGAGCAACGCCGCGUGAGUGAAGACGGCCUUCGGGUUGUAAAGCUCUGUUGUAAGGGAAGAACGGUAGAUAGAGAAUAUCUAAGUGACGGUACCUUACCAGAAAGCCACGGUUAACUACGUG
RNAcentral lists this ribosomal RNA (486 nucleotides) under uncultured bacterium. Its description in RNAcentral is "partial 16S ribosomal RNA". It matches the Rfam family "Bacterial small subunit ribosomal RNA", at positions 28 to 507 of the family's 1533-position model. The record is from RNAcentral.